This 899-nucleotide ribosomal RNA is filed under the name uncultured archaeon. RNAcentral describes it as "bacterial SSU rRNA". It matches the Rfam family "Archaeal small subunit ribosomal RNA", at positions 1 to 878 of the family's 1478-position model. The record is from RNAcentral.
CUCCGGUGGAUCCUGCCGGAACCCGACUGCUAUCGGAUUGAGAUUUAGCCAUGCGAGUCGAACGUCCCCCUGUUGCGGGGGGCGUGGCGUACGGCUCAGUAACACGUAGUCAAUCUGCCCUGGAGACAAGGACAACCCCGGGAAACUGGGAUUAAUCCUUGAUAGGUCAUCUCAUCUGGAAGGAGAGAUGGCUUAAAGGGGUACGCGGGCUUCUUCCGCGAAUUCGCUCCAGGAUGGGACUGCGUCCGAUCAGGCUGUUGGCGGGGUAAUGGCCCACCAAACCUGUAACCGGUACGGGCCUUGAGAGAGGUGGCCCGGAGAUGGACACUGAGAGAAGGGUCCAGGUCCUACGGGGCGCAGCAGGCGCGAAACCUUCGCAAUGCGCGAAAGCGUGACGAGGUUAAUCCGAGUGAUUUCCGCUGAGGAGAUCUUUUGUCAGCUGUAAAUAGGCAGGCGAAUAAGGGGAGGGCAAGUCUGGUGUCAGCCGCCGCGGUAAUACCAGCUCCUCGAGUGGUCGGGGCGAUUAUUGGGCCUAAAGCAUCCGUAGCCGGUUCCAUAGGUCUCCUGCAAAAUCCAGUCGCUCAACGAUUGGCCCGCAGGAGAUACCGCGGGACUAGGAGGCGGGAGAGGUGGACGGUACUCCACGUGUAGGGGUAAAAUCCUUUGAUCCGUGGAAGACCACCAGUGGCGAAGGCGGUCCACCAGAACGCGCUCGACGGUGAGGGAUGAAAGCUGGGGGAGCGAACCGGAUUAGAUACCCGGGUAGUCCCAGCCGUAAACGAUGCGAGCUAGAUGAUCCAGUCGCAAAUCGCGACUGGAGUGUCGCAGGGAAGCCGUUAAGCUCGCCGCCUGGGGAGUACGGUCGCAAGACUGAAACUUAAAGAAUUGCCGGGGGAGCA